GCUCAAUGAUGAUAUAAAGGCUAAUGUGACUCUCCAGCUGGGUUGCACCCUCAGCCCAUUCCAGCAAUACCGGUCUGUAAUCUUGGUGGACAAUGCAGAGCUGUGCGUGUUCACUGUAAGGGCAGGCCAACAGCAAAUCCCCUUCCCUGCAUCCCUGGACAAUGCAUCAUUGGCAUGUGUCAGCUCUGAGCGAGUGCUUCUGAGCUGACUGGGGGCUGUGGGAAUAGGACAGGCAAGCAUCUCCACGGUUUGGGUUGCAGGGUGCAGUCCAUGUUACAGCUGGUGAGAUGUGAGCACAGGUCUUUGGUAAUCUGAUUACU
This is a small nucleolar RNA of Dromaius novaehollandiae (emu), 320 nucleotides long. The record is from Ensembl. Lineage: Eukaryota; Metazoa; Chordata; Aves; Casuariiformes; Dromaiidae.